Long non-coding RNA from Xyrauchen texanus (razorback sucker), 2516 nucleotides. RefSeq lists it as uncharacterized. The record is from RefSeq and is a predicted model, not a curated record. The transcript is spliced from 5 exons. Lineage: Eukaryota; Metazoa; Chordata; Actinopteri; Cypriniformes; Catostomidae.
UCGGAGCCCUUGCAUGGAGCUGGAGAAGCAAAUGUAAUGUACAUUACAUUCACUUCACGUAACGCUCCUGAGCGAUGUCUUUGUGAGUGUUUUUUUUUUUCUUACUGGCAGCUAAAAAUAGCAUCAGUGUUUGAUCUUGGUCCAGAAAUAGGCAGAGGGUUUCACUUGUAUAAAAAGGACUGCGAUUCUGAGAAAACUUGGACGUGUUGCUGAGGAUAGAAAUGAAUCGAGGGCAGUAUGUGAGCUUGUUGUUUUUUUCUGUAAUGUGAUCACGGCUGACUGAAUUUAUACUCACGUAUAUGUUUUCCCUGCUUUCAGCAAGGGCUUGCAGCACUGGGAAAAGUGAACAAACUUGAGGGAUCCAUCGGCUAAAGGACUGGAGGUGAAACGCUCCGUCCAUCCUCUUGAUCGUGACCGUGACGUCACUGCCAUUAAAAUCAUGUGAUGGCAGGACAUCAAGGCAAAAGAGAGAUGAGGGGCUCAACUGAGUACGUUCCUCAAGGAAGGAGAUGGACAGAUAACACGAAUGGAAGCUGACACAGGAAAAGGAUGGAGUCGAUCAAAAAAAGAGUGUGGAAAAGGCCUCAGUCGUGAGAACAGUCGAGUUCCUGCAGUCAUCUGAUUCAGAACAUGCUCAUGGGAGGACAAAGAAAUAAGAAGGAUCCAACCCUGGGAAAACUUGUAACUUGAAGAUGCACAAGAUUAACCUCAUAUCAGUGACUUUAAUUCUGCUUUACACCUGUUAAUGGAUAUUCAGCAAGUUGAUUAAUUUGUAGCAGGACAAUAACACCUUCAGGUAUUUAAAAUCUCUGUUUGUAAAGGACUUCUUGUAUGAGCUGGACAUUGCUAAUGUUGUCAAUUUCAGACGUAUUUUUUCUGUUUUGUAUAAAUGUAGAGCAAAUACUACACUCAGAAAAGUGAUAACAGUUUUAAGGUAAAUAAAUAAAUACAUAAUAAAGGUAAACAUAAAAUCGCGUACAGAUUAUGUCCUCGUUGCUGUAGGUGUUCACGCGCUGAGUGAAAUUGUGUAGACCAGAGGAUCACGUGAACGCUUGUGUUGAUUUGUUGUGUUUUAAUUUGAAAGUCGUGGUAGGACAAGACAAAUGUAAUCUGAUUUAAUCUCAUAUUCUUCUGAGCAUUUAUUGUACCAUUGUAAAUAAUACUCUGUAUAUAUGUCUUAGAAUAGUUUUGUUGUGCGAGUGCUAAGAACAGCACGUGUGACCAGAGAGCAAAAGGAUGUUUUAAGGCUGUUGUAGCAAUCUGCAGCUGUCGCUGUCCGCUGCGCGUGGUGCUGAAUUGUGCGCGAACGGGACAAAGAAGCUUAUAAUUUCUAUUGAACAAAGCUAAAGUUUCUAUACGUUCUCUUAUUGUAUGGUGUAUUGUAUAUGUAUAAUACAGUUUAAUUACAUUGGUGUUUAAAAACGAUGUUAAAUUGUGGUCUAACAAAAAAGAUGACAUGGUUUUAGGAUAACUAGAUGGUAAACUAAUAAUAUUCAUCUUAUUUAAAGUAUCAUAGGGUUAUAGGGGGCUGAGUAAUGGCAAAUAUUGGGGGCAAGAUCAGUAAGUGUCGAGGAGGUUAAACAGGAAUUUAAAAUUGGACGAGUGUGUUAAAAGUAAGAGUGACUGAGAAGGUGUGUGUUUGUUUUUGUGAGUGAGUGAGAGAGAGAGAGAGUGUGUGUGUGUGUGUGUGUGUGUGUGUGUGUGUGUGUGUGUGUGUGCGUGUUUUUGUGAUUUACGAGGACAAUUUUGUAAGUUAGAAAUUAGUAAUUACAAGGGUAUUAUGCUAUAAAUGUGAUUUAUGAGGACAUUUCUAGUGCCCCCAUAAUUCAAAUCGCUUAAAAAUCAUACUAAACAAUGUUUUAUUGAAAAUGUAAAAAUGCAGAAGGUUUUCUGUGAUGAUUAGGUUUAGGGGUUGUGUUAGGUUUAGAGGAUAGAAUCUAUAGUUUGUACAGUAUAAAAGUCAUUAUGUCUAUGGAAAGUCCUCAUAAUGAUAGGUAGACCAACAUGAGUGUGUGUGUGUGUGUGUGUGUGUGUGUGUGUGUGUGUGUGUGUGUGUGUGUGUGUGUGUGUGUGUGAAGGAAUUCAUAUUGAAAAUUGUAUGUGUAGUUUGUUAGUACAAAGGCAGUACAAUUUUAACAAAUCCAGAUUUUACGUAUACUAUAAUGUAUAUAAUUAUAAUCGCAAAAUAUAGCCUACUGUGGUUCAAACGUUGACAUUUUAGCGCUCUGUGAAUAUCGGAUUAAUCUAGCUCCACGUGUCUUUUAUUUUCAUGACGUGCUCUUUUUUCUGCUUUGAUGUUUUUCGUGAUAUAUGUCUGUAUUUAUUUAAAUAUUUAAAUCAUGCAGUGUACUACGUCGGAAUGUAACUGUUUUGAAUUGUCUAGUUAUAUCUCUACAUGAUAUCAAGUGGCUAAGUGGAUGUACAUUGCAAAAUCCGAAUGCUGGAAGUUUGUCGUUCUUGUGGAUUCUUUACUGACAUUUGAAUUACAAUAUUAUGUUAUAAACUGAUUUCUUCCU